Molecule: non-coding RNA, 46 nt
Filed under: Schistosoma curassoni
Lineage: Eukaryota; Metazoa; Platyhelminthes; Trematoda; Strigeidida; Schistosomatidae
Source: RNAcentral
GCAUGGCUGAGGAGUCCUACAAUAGGACGAAACGUAUGUCCUGUGG